This 59-nucleotide transfer RNA is filed under the name Peripatoides sp. DVL-2010. Its description in RNAcentral is "tRNA-His". Lineage: Eukaryota; Metazoa; Onychophora; Udeonychophora; Euonychophora; Peripatopsidae. The record is from RNAcentral.
UUUAUGAUAGUUUAAUUAAAACGUUGAUUUGUGGAAUCAAAAUUAUAUUCAUAUUUAAA